GGGCGGUUAGCUCAGUGGUCCAGAGCGCCUCGUUUACACCGAGGAGGUCGGAGGUUCAAAUCCUCCACUGCCCA
This 74-nucleotide transfer RNA is filed under the name Candidatus Berkelbacteria bacterium. Its description in RNAcentral is "tRNA-Val". It matches the Rfam family "tRNA". From Rfam's summary of the family: Transfer RNA (tRNA) molecules are approximately 80 nucleotides in length. Their secondary structure includes four short double-helical elements and three loops (D, anti-codon, and T loops). The record is from RNAcentral. Lineage: Bacteria; Candidatus Berkelbacteria.